GAUGAACGCUGGCGGCGUGCUUAACACAUGCAAGUCGAACGGUGAAGGCGGAGCUUGCUCUGCUGGAUCAGUGGCGAACGGGUGAGUAACACGUGAGCAAUCUGCCCCUGACUCUGGGAUAAGCGCUGGAAACGGCGUCUAAUACUGGAUACGAGCUGCGAAGGCAUCUUCAGCAGCUGGAAAGAAUUUCGGUCAGGGAUGAGCGCGCGGCCUAUCAGCUUGUUGGUGAGGUAAUGGCUCACCAAGGCGUCGACGGGUAGCCGGCCUGAGAGGGUGACCGGCCACGCUGGGACUGGGACACGGCCCAGACUCCUACGGGAGGCAGCGGUGGGGAAUAUUGCACAAUGGGCGAAAGCCUGAUGCAGCAACGCCGCGUGAGGGACGACGGCCUUCGGGUUGUAAACCUCUUUUAGCAGGGAAGAAGCGAAAGUGACGGUACCUGCAGAAAAAGCGCCGGCUAACUACGUG
RNAcentral lists this ribosomal RNA (468 nucleotides) under uncultured bacterium. RNAcentral's name for it is "partial 16S ribosomal RNA". It matches the Rfam family "Bacterial small subunit ribosomal RNA", at positions 28 to 507 of the family's 1533-position model. The record is from RNAcentral.